RNAcentral lists this ribosomal RNA (894 nucleotides) under uncultured bacterium. RNAcentral describes it as "bacterial SSU rRNA". It matches the Rfam family "Bacterial small subunit ribosomal RNA", at positions 8 to 916 of the family's 1533-position model. The record is from RNAcentral.
AGAGUUUGAUCCUGGCUCAGGAUGAACGCUAGCGGUGUGCCUAAUGCAUGCAAGUCGAACGGGAUCUUUUGGAUUCGUCUGAAAGUGAGAGUGGCGAACGGGUGAGUAACACGUUGGUGACCUACCCCAAAGAGAGGGAUAACCAUUGGAAACGAUGGCUAAUACCUCGGAUGUAUUACUAUUUAGAAAGGUAAUACUAAAGCUCCGGCGCUUUGGGAGGGGCCUGCGGUCCAUCAGCUAGUUGGUAAGGUAAUGGCUUACCAAGGCAAAGACGGAUAGGGGGCGUGAGAGCGUGACCCCCCACACUGGUACUGAGACACGGACCAGAUACCUGCGGGUAGCAGCAGCAAGGAAUAUUGCGCAAUCGACGAAAGUCGGACGCAGCAACACCGCGUGAAGGAUGAAGGCCUUCGGGUCGUAAACUUCUUUUCUGGGGGAAGAGAAAGGACGGUACCCCAGGAAUAAGUCUCGGCUAACUACGUGCCAGCAGCCGCGGUAAAACGUAGGAGGCGAGCGUUAUCCGGAUUUAUUGGGCGUAAAGCGCAUGCAGGCGGUUUACAAAGUCGGACGUGAAAGCUCCUGGCUCAACUAGGAGAGGCCGUUCGAAACUAGUAGACUUGAGGAUGGUAGAGGUGAGUGGAAUUCCCGGUGUAGUGGUGAAAUGCGUAGAUAUCGGGAGGAACACCAGUGGCGAAGGCGGCUCACUGGGCCAUUCCUGACGCUCAGAUGCGAAAGCUAGGGGAGAGAACGGGAUUAGAAACCCCGGUAUUCCUAGCCGUAAACGAUGUCAACUAGGCGUAGGAGGUUAUUGACCCCUUCUGUGCUGCAGCUAACGCGUUAAGUUGACCGCCUGGGGACUACGGCCGCAAGGCUAAAACUCAAAGGAAUUGACGG